Molecule: long non-coding RNA, 1309 nt
Filed under: Apteryx owenii (little spotted kiwi)
Lineage: Eukaryota; Metazoa; Chordata; Aves; Apterygiformes; Apterygidae
Description: lncRNA (ENSAOWG00000015511.1)
Source: RNAcentral
CCGGGGCCGAGGCUGGCGGGGGGCGGCGCUGCCAACACUCAAGCGCAGCUGAUCCCGUUUCAAAACCUGACGGUGACCUAUGAGCAGCUGCCUCAAAACCCGGGGAAAUGAGAAAACAAAGCAGAGCUGUAGCUCUUCUCUAAGGCUCCACGGCUUUCAACAUUCACACAGCUCACAAAAUUUGCCACAACCACAGGACGUGUUUAGUGAGUGCAGAAUAACGGACAACUGCCUUCAGCCGAUGAAAAAGAAGCAAACAAAGGAUGGAGAGAGCGUAGAAAGAAUGGAAUGUGCUUACAUGGAUCCCUCUGCAGGAGAUGGUUUAUCAGACGUUAUGAACUGCUUUUCUAUAGCUAAUGACUUCUCCAAAAAUACUGUUCUCUGCUGACCUUACAUCUUCAGUGGAAAGUCAGGAGACCCGCUCUGUCAAGUGGCUGAAAUGAUUUUAAACAAAACCACAGAAAAACACCUGCCUGCUGUGUUGUGUUUCCAUUGUGAACUAUUGUAUCUUCCUCUCUUCUCUGCCGUUAUCAUUCGUGAUUGCUCCAGUUAAUUAGUAUUCUCMAGAAUAACCAGUAGACCUUGUAGGUGAAAAGAAAAAAAAAUCAACUUUAUUUAAUGUGAGAGUUGAGGACACUUAGCCAGUAACCUGAUGAAUAGUUUAUACUGUCAGCUACUCAUACAGGAGUUCUGUCUCUGAGUUGCCUGUGCAAUGCCCAAUCCAUUAGUAAUGCUACACAGAUAACGAAGAGGGAUUUGCUUUUUUCCAGAGCUUUAGUAAUUACUCAUUGCUUCCUAUAAAAAUACGGAAAGCAACAUCCAGACUGUCUCAGCCCGGUGGAUCCUGCCUCUUCUGACUUUCAUGCCCAGUCACACUAGCRCACUUGACUUCGCCUUACAGAAGGAGAAGMGAGACAUUUGCACGCAGAAAGGAUGGUGCCCUUGCUUUGAUCUCCAUCUCUGCUGUACUGAACCGCUUCCAACAGCAAAGUGUAACGAGGCUCCAGCAAUACGGAAAACRCCAGCRCWCCRGGRUCRCCUGUGCCCCCMAGAGACAGCUAAUUCACCUCGCGCUGCUGYCGAGCCCCGUGCUGUGGGACUGCGUACACAUGUUUUACAAUUGGCUCGUCACCGUCAGCAGCGCCUGUCAUCGCUUCAAACCGGGAUGCUUCUGGAGUCACAGGGUGUCCCGUCACCUUUGCCUCUCGCAAUGCUAAUGAGACUCUGCUCUGUGCAAGCGCACAGCAGAGACGUGAAGGAUGUUUAUAAAUCGUGUUUGCUGUUGCCCCGUAGGAGUUACAAAGAGACC